UAAAGACUUAAUAAUUAGGGUUCGGCAUCCAUUAAUAAUAAAACUGAUUUGAUUUAUCUGAUAUGAUUUAAUUGUUAUAUAUGUGUUUUGAUGUGCUAAAUUCUUAUUAUUAUUUGAAUUCGUUUGAGAUUUAAAGGAUUAUUGAGUAGUCAAUAAUUAUUAUUUCGGAUUAUAACUGACUUAGCAGAGUCAUGUUAUUUAAUUUAUAUACGAUAGAAAUAAUAUUUCUAUUAUUUACUUGAAGUCGUAAUUAAUUUUCGACUUAUAAAACGAGUUAUAAAAUAUGUAAUUUAUAGAGAGUUAUAACGAAGCUUCGUUAUAUGAGAACCCGAAAUUAGUAUUACAAAUACAGAAUAAGGAUUUUAUUCAUCACAUUCAUCUAGCACCUACACAUUUCCACAUCCAUCUUACUCUUAAAUAAAUUGAUGGUGUUGGAAACACUCAUCAUAUGCCAACCAUCCCACUAAACACUCAUCAUAUGCCAACUAUCCCACUAAACACUCAUCAUUUCACUAAACACUCAUUAUUCCACACACUCAUCAUUCCACUAAACACUCUUUACACCUUCUUUUGCCAGCCAUCUUCUACACUUUAACAUCUCAACAUGCAAUUAGCUUUUAUUUAAUCAAAAUCAGCAACCAACAUUCCUCCCAUUCCUCCUAACAUUCUGAUCCAAGCUAUUCUUAUGCUUGAAUUAUAAUUCACUGAUUCCAGCUUUCCAAAUCAGUUUCCAAGAUUUCCCAAAACAAGAAAGAGAUCCAAUUUUGGUGAAUUCAGAAAGAAGAUUUUCCUCAUUUCCUACUCAUAUCAAGGUUACCUCCUACUUUACUUUCUCCAUACAUUCAUUUGUUAAAUUACAAAACUAUGAUUCAAAUGAAAACAGAUCGAACACACGCAUCCAUUACCACUUCUUUUAGACUAUUAUUGUUUCAAUUACAUCAGCUUAUUACCAUCAGAGAACCACCAACAGAAUAAUACACACGCACACAUUUUACUAUAUUUCUAUCUAUUACAAGUACAGAUCAGUUUUUGUAAAUAGAAAUGAAUGAAAAUGAACAGAAUUGAAACCCUAAGUGCUCUAUGUGUGUUUUGUGCGUGUGACUGAAAUUUGGAGAGUUCCUUGUGUUUUGCUUGCGUGUGUGUUGUUCGAAUCGUGAGAGGGGAAGGAGGGAGCAGCAGGCGGCUGUUCGGCGCCGGCAACGGCGGCGCGGCGGCAACUGCCGUCCAGUCCUUGUCCUGCCAAAACGAGAGAGAAGAGGGUAGAGAGAGA
Molecule: long non-coding RNA, 1270 nt
Organism: Salvia miltiorrhiza (redroot sage)
Lineage: Eukaryota; Viridiplantae; Streptophyta; Magnoliopsida; Lamiales; Lamiaceae
Exons: 2
Source: RefSeq, a predicted model, not a curated record